GGGGCUGUAGCUCAGUAGUAGAGCACCUGUCUUGCAUGCAGAAGACCCCAGGUUCAGUCCCUGGCGUCUUCU
This is a non-coding RNA of Podarcis lilfordi (Lilford's wall lizard), 72 nucleotides long. Lineage: Eukaryota; Metazoa; Chordata; Lepidosauria; Squamata; Lacertidae. The record is from the annotation of a GenBank genome assembly.